AUGCAACUGCCGUCAGAUCUGACGGACUGGCCGGCCAUACAGGGGCAGCCCGAUCUGGCCGAGGCACACCGGCGGGAGCCCACUGGGACCGAAGGCCAGCAGCCGAGGAGGCACAGGACUAGCACCAACAGGAAACACCCGAUCCGUUGGAGCGCCGCCACGAGGGCUGCGGGUCAGAUGCAAACCAGGAUGCACAAAAAGCAUAGGGGCUCGGGAGGUUCUGCGGGCAGCAGGAACGAGCAGAGAGAUAGCCGCGCCAGGAAGCGCCACCCCGCCGCCACCGCGGGCCAGCCAGGCGGCCGCCGCCGGCAGCGGUGA
Molecule: ribosomal RNA, 318 nt
Filed under: Triticum aestivum (bread wheat)
Lineage: Eukaryota; Viridiplantae; Streptophyta; Magnoliopsida; Poales; Poaceae
Description: partial small subunit ribosomal RNA
Source: RNAcentral